AUACGUAGGUGGCAAGCGUUGUUCGGAAUUAUUGGGCGUAAAGCGCGCGCAGGUGGUUCCUUAAGUCUGAUGUGAAAGCCCCCGGCUCAACCGGGGAGGGUCAUUGGAAACUGGGGAACUUGAGUGCAGAAGAGGAUAGUGGAAUUCCAAGCGUAGCGGUGAAAUGCGUAGAGAUUUGGAGGAACAACAGUGGCGAAGGCGACUGUCUGGUCUGUAACUGACACUGAGGCGCGAAAGCGUGGGGAGCAAACAGGAUUAGAUACCCUGGUAGUCCACGCCGUAAACGAUGAGUGCUAAGUGUUGGGGGGUUUCCGCCCCUCAGUGCUGCAGCUAACGCAUUAAGCACUCCGCCUGGGGAGUACGGUCGCAAGACUGAAACUCAAAUGAAUUGACGGGG
RNAcentral lists this ribosomal RNA (397 nucleotides) under uncultured bacterium. RNAcentral's name for it is "partial 16S ribosomal RNA". It matches the Rfam family "Bacterial small subunit ribosomal RNA", at positions 523 to 918 of the family's 1533-position model. The record is from RNAcentral.